UACGUAGGGAGCGAGCGUUGUCCGGAUUCAUUGGGCGUAAAGAGCUCGUAGGCGGCUUGGUAAGUCGGAUGUGAAACCUCCAGGCUCAACCUGGAGUCGCCAUCCGAUACUGCCAUGGCUAGAGUCCGGUAGGGGCCCACGGAAUUCCUGGUGUAGCGGUGAAAUGCGUAGAUAUCAGGAGGAACACCUGCGGUGUAGACAGCUUUCUGGACCACUUCUGACGCUGAGACACGAAAGCGUGGGUAGCAAACAGG
RNAcentral lists this ribosomal RNA (254 nucleotides) under uncultured bacterium. RNAcentral describes it as "partial 16S ribosomal RNA". It matches the Rfam family "Bacterial small subunit ribosomal RNA", at positions 524 to 776 of the family's 1533-position model. The record is from RNAcentral.